This 626-nucleotide ribosomal RNA is filed under the name uncultured fungus. RNAcentral's name for it is "eukaryotic LSU rRNA". It matches the Rfam family "Eukaryotic large subunit ribosomal RNA", at positions 23 to 673 of the family's 3401-position model. Lineage: Eukaryota; Fungi. The record is from RNAcentral.
ACCCGCUGAAUUUAAGCAUAUCAAUAAGCGGAGGAAAAGAAACCAACAGGGAUUGCCUCAGUAACGGCGAGUGAAGCGGCAACAGCUCAGAUUUGAAAUCUGGCCUCACGGUCCGAGUUGUAAUUUGUAGAGGAUGCUUUUGGCGAGGUGCUUUCCGAGUUCCCUGGAACGGGACGCCUUAGAGGGUGAGAGCCCCGUACGAUUGGAUACCGAGCCUCUGUAAAGCUCCUUCGACGAGUCGAGUAGUUUGGGAAUGCUGCUCUAAAUGGGAGGUAAAUUUCUUCUAAAGCUAAAUACCGGCCAGAGACCGAUAGCGCACAAGUAGAGUGAUCGAAAGAUGAAAAGCACUUUGAAAAGAGGGUUAAAUAGUACGUGAAAUUGUUGAAAGGGAAGGGCUUAUGACCAGACCUUUGCCUUGCGGAUCAUCCGGUGUUCUCACCGGUGCACUCCGCUUGGUUGAGGCCAGCAUCAGUUUUGGCGGCCGGAUAAAGACUUCAGGAAUGUGACUCCUCCGGGAGUGUUAUAGCCUGCUGUGUAAUACGGCCGCUGGGACUGAGGACCGCGCUUCGGCUAGGAUGCUGGCAUAAUGGUCAUCAGCCACCCGUCUUGAAACACGGACCAAGGAG